GACGAACGCUGGCGGCGUGCUUAACACAUGCAAGUCGAACGAAGUGGCGAACGGGUGAGUAACGCGUAAUCAACCUGCCCUUCAGAGGGGGACAACAGUUGGAAACGACUGCUAAUACCGCAUACUCUAGGAGGGGAGUGCGGCGGAUUGGCUAGUUGGAGGGGUAACGGCCCACAAAGGCGAGGAUCAGUAGCCGGUCUGAGAGGUUGAACGGCCACAUUGUGACUGGUACACGGCCCAGACUCCUACGGGAGGCAGCAGUGGGGAAUCUUCCGCAAUGGACGAAAGUCUGACGGAGCAACGCCGCGUGAGUGAUGACGGCCUUCGGGUUGUAAAGCUCUGUUAAUCGGGACGCGGUACCGGAAGAGAAAGCCACGGCUAACUACGUGCCAGCAGCCGCGGUAAUUC
RNAcentral lists this ribosomal RNA (408 nucleotides) under uncultured bacterium. Its description in RNAcentral is "partial 16S ribosomal RNA". It matches the Rfam family "Bacterial small subunit ribosomal RNA", at positions 28 to 526 of the family's 1533-position model. The record is from RNAcentral.